This 781-nucleotide ribosomal RNA is filed under the name uncultured Neocallimastigales. RNAcentral describes it as "partial large subunit ribosomal RNA". It matches the Rfam family "Eukaryotic large subunit ribosomal RNA", at positions 22 to 641 of the family's 3401-position model. The record is from RNAcentral. Lineage: Eukaryota; Fungi; Neocallimastigomycota; Neocallimastigomycetes; Neocallimastigales.
CAUAGCGACUAUCGUGGCAUAUCAAUAAGCGGAGGAAAAGAAACUAACAAGGAUUCCCCUAGUAACGGCGAGUGAAGCGGGAAGAGCUCAAAUUUGAAAUCUUAAAGGGUUUCCCUUUACGAAUUGUAGUUUAAAGAAGUGUUUUCUGUUGGAGUUUCGGUAAAAGUUCUUUGGAAUAGGACAUCAUAGAGGGUGAGAAUCCCGUAUUUGACCGUUACUUUCCAGCUGUGUGAUACACUUUCAAAGAGUCGGAUUGUUUGGGAAUGCAGUCCAAGAUGGGUGGUAAAUUUCAUCUAAAGCUAAAUAUUGGCGAGAGACCGAUAGCGAACAAGUACCGUGAGGGAAAGAUGAAAAGAACUUUGAAAAGAGAGUUAAACAGUACGUGAAAUUGUCAAAAGGGAAGCGUUUGACACCAGUGUUGUUUAGUUGAAAAUCAAUUCAAUAGUUUUUGAUUCUAAGUAGUAUUGACUUCAUCAGCUUGCUGCUUUCUUCUCAGAAAUUAUUGAAUGCACUUUUCAGUUAACAAGUCAACAUCAAUUUCUUUUGUUGUAAAAGGGUAAGAGGAAGGUGGCUUACGCUUCGGCGUAAGUGUUUAUAGCCUUUUACCUCUGCAAUCGGAGAGAUUGAGGUACAUGCAGCGUAGACUCCUUCGGGGCUAGAUACACUUUGUGCUAAGUUAUAGCUUGUCAUAGACAACUUGUUGACUAUGUUCAGUCAUUGUAGCUUACUCGCAUGCUGCUAUUUUACCUACGCUUAGGAUGUUGAUAUGCAUGACUGAUAU